CUUCACUUGUAAUAAUAGAUUUGGCAGUUACAUUAUGUAGAUUGGAUAUAAAAUAUUGCUAAUGAAUUUAUUGGCUUUCUAGCUCGGCUGAUGUCACAAACAGUCCAUGAAAUCCAUAUGGAACUCGUUGAGGCAAUUUCACCUCUGCCACCACCUCCAACUCCGAUGACCGUGCAUCCAUCACCACGAAUGAUGACUGAUCUACACCUUCAUCAUACAAAUAUGUCACUAAAUAUCCAUCAUCCUCCCCCUCUCCUCCAUAUCCAACGAAAAAUGGCUCUCCAGCAAACCUGCCCGGCCCAAAAUCCCUCCUAGCAACUACGCAAUCGUAACCACUACCAACUUUCUCAAAAUCCAGCUUCACCAACCCCCCAAACUUUGGAAAUGGACAUCCAACAGCCAUGUAGGCGUAGCGGUUUCGUUGUCCGACAUAAUUUGGGUUAAUCACCCCAAAAUCGAGCUUCCCCUCGGUCAACACAGUUCGAAUAACCAAAUCAGACUUAAGGUCAAUCCGAACCAUCUCUAUAGAAGUAGUCAACAAGUCCAGCCUCUCUAAAAAAUACCCAAUAAGAUUCACAUUUGGGCCUAUAAUCACAAUCGUAUCGCCCUCCUCCCACGAAUUGAUGACAUGGAAGAUGUUAAACCCCGGCACAUUGAACCAUCUUGCCGCCUCCCCUUCCGUCUUUGCAUACCUUGGUAGAACACCGAGUCGGGUCAAUUUUUUCGGAUCAGCACAAACAAGGCCACCCCGACCCAUUAGCAUGUCCAACGGCUCCUUAACGAACUGGAUGUCGGGAAAAAUGACAUAACGUUCCGUGAGGGCAAAGUCAUGGAUGAGGGUCGGACUGCGUAUGGAGUGGAUCGGAACAUCCGGUCCAGUUUUCCGACCGGUCUUAUCAAACCGGAAGUAUGUGAGAAAUGGUGGGAGCCAGAACCAACGAAACGCAAAGCACUCUCCCGUGCGUGGAUCUCGUUUCGUAUGAGCCGACAUUCCCAACUUUAACUUGCCGUCAAAAUUUGUACGUCCAACAGUUGUAACGACGCCCGAGAUUGGAGAGACGUGGACGGCAUAGGGGAGAUCGGCCUCGCCGACGGCGUAGAGGGUGUUGCCGAUGAUGGCAAGGUUGAUGUUGGCGAGGCCGACACCCUUGUGGGGUUCGAUUUGGCCGGUGAAGAUGCGGAGGGCUGUGAGGGCAGCGCGUGCGACUCCUGCGAAGCCAUGAAAACCCGAUAUGACGUUGGGAACCACGGCCUUGCCAGCCAUGCACUCAAGACGGAAGUUACUGGUGCGGACAUAGUGGGAGGAGAAGAUGGCGGAACUGGUGGUCUGGAGGAGGAUGGAGUGGAGCAUGCCGUCUCCGUCGAAGAAGUGAUAGGUGCCGCGGGGGAGGUGAUGGGGGUUGGGGCCGUUGCGGAUGUAGGCGCCGCCAGCGAGGCAAUCAGGUAUGGUGCCUAUGAUGGUAGGGCACUGUGUCGGAGGUAGCUCCGUGACCGGAGCAAAGUUUCCGGAGAGGACGUUUACCGGAUUAACCGAGGGUCGGAGGUGAGGUGGAUCAAGGUGGUCGUUGAUGAAUUCUUCGAUGGCGUUGCAGAUGGUGGCUGCGAGUGACCGCCUUGCUGGGGAGGUGCUUAUGCUUUUUGGGCUGGUGGAUUUUUUUAGGUUAGUGGUGGCGUCGGUGGUUUGUUUAGAGUGGAGUUGGCCCUCAGGGUGCUGCCUAUGGACGGCGGAGAUGGUGAGAUGAGGCCGUGGUAAUCUUCCGGAAAGGAAUCGAGGGAUGGCGACCUUGGAAGAGGAUGAAAUGGGGUUGACGCUAAAAUGCUGUGACUCCAUUAAGAG
Molecule: unclassified non-coding RNA, 1837 nt
Filed under: Hevea brasiliensis (rubber tree)
Lineage: Eukaryota; Viridiplantae; Streptophyta; Magnoliopsida; Malpighiales; Euphorbiaceae
Source: RNAcentral